This 73-nucleotide transfer RNA is filed under the name Cavia porcellus (domestic guinea pig). It matches the Rfam family "tRNA". From Rfam's summary of the family: Transfer RNA (tRNA) molecules are approximately 80 nucleotides in length. Their secondary structure includes four short double-helical elements and three loops (D, anti-codon, and T loops). The record is from Rfam by way of RNAcentral. Lineage: Eukaryota; Metazoa; Chordata; Mammalia; Rodentia; Caviidae.
GGGGAUACAGCUCAGUGGCACAAGCAGCUGCCUGGCAAGCACAAGGUCCUGAGUUCGAUUCCCAGCACCCCCC